RNAcentral lists this ribosomal RNA (251 nucleotides) under uncultured Prevotella sp. RNAcentral describes it as "partial 16S ribosomal RNA". It matches the Rfam family "Bacterial small subunit ribosomal RNA", at positions 88 to 339 of the family's 1533-position model. The record is from RNAcentral. Lineage: Bacteria; Pseudomonadati; Bacteroidota; Bacteroidia; Bacteroidales; Prevotellaceae.
ACGUCGACCGGCGCACGGGUGAGUAACGCGUAUCCAACCUACCCAUUACUGUGGGAUAACCUGCCGAAAGGCAGACUAAUACCGCAUGGUCUUCGAUGACGGCAUCAGAUGUGAAGUAAAGAUUUAUCGGUCAUGGAUGGGGAUGCGUCUGAUUAGCUUGUUGGCGGGGUAACGGCCCACCAAGGCAACGAUCAGUAGGGGUUCUGAGAGGAAGGUCCCCCACACUGGAACUGAGACACGGCCCAGACUCC